AGAGUUUGAUCCUGGCUCAGAUUGAACGCUGGCGGAAUGCUUUACACAUGCAAGUCGAGCGGCAGCGCGGGGCAACCUGGCGGCGAGCGGCGAACGGGUGAGUAAUGCAUCGGAACAUGUCCAUGUCGUGGGGGAUAGCCCGGCGAAAGCCGGAUUAAUACCGCAUAAGCCCGAGAGGGGAAAGCAGGGGACCGCAAGGCCUUGCGCGAUUGGGUUGGCCGAUGUCCGAUUAGCUUGUUGGUGAGGUAAAGGCUUACCAAGGCGAUGAUCGGUAGCUGGUCUGAGAGGAUGAUCAGCCACACUGGGACUGAGACACGGCCCAGACUCCUACGGGAGGCAGCAGUGGGGAAUUUUGGACAAUGGGGGCAACCCUGAUCCAGCAAUGCCGCGUGAGUGAAGAAGGCCUUCGGGUUGUAAAGCUCUUUUGUCAGGGGAAGGAAACGGUGGAAAGGCUAAAUAUCCUUUGCUAAAUGACGGACCUGAAGA
Molecule: ribosomal RNA, 486 nt
Filed under: uncultured bacterium
Lineage: Bacteria
Description: bacterial SSU rRNA
Rfam family: Bacterial small subunit ribosomal RNA
Source: RNAcentral